This 253-nucleotide ribosomal RNA is filed under the name uncultured bacterium. RNAcentral's name for it is "partial 16S ribosomal RNA". It matches the Rfam family "Bacterial small subunit ribosomal RNA", at positions 524 to 776 of the family's 1533-position model. The record is from RNAcentral.
UACGGAGGGUGCAAGCGUUGUUCGGAUUUAUUGGGCGUAAAGCGCGUGUAGGCUGCUUGGAAAGUCGGAUGUGAAAGCCCUGGGCUCAACCUAGGAAGUGCAUUCGAAACUUCUGAGCUGGAGUGCUGGAGAGGAAGGCGGAAUUCUCGGUGUAGAGGUGAAAUUCGUAGAUAUCGAGAGGAACACCGGUGGCGAAGGCGGCCUUCUGGACAGUAACUGACGCUGAGACGCGAAAGCGUGGGGAGCAAACAGG